UGGGGAAUAUUGCACAAUGGGGGAAACCCUGAUGCAGCGACGCCGCGUGAGUGAAGAAGUAUUUCGGUAUGUAAAGCUCUAUCAGCAGGGAAGAAAAUGACGGUACCUGACUAAGAAGCCCCGGCUAACUACGUGCCAGCAGCCGCGGUAAUACGUAGGGGGCAAGCGUUAUCCGGAUUUACUGGGUGUAAAGGGAGCGUAGGUGGCAUGGUAAGCCAGAAGUGAAAACCCAGGGCUCAACUCUGUGGAUUGCUUUUGGAACUAUCAAGCUAGAGUGCUGGAGGGGUAAGCGGAAUUCCUAGU
RNAcentral lists this ribosomal RNA (303 nucleotides) under uncultured bacterium. Its description in RNAcentral is "bacterial SSU rRNA". It matches the Rfam family "Bacterial small subunit ribosomal RNA", at positions 355 to 674 of the family's 1533-position model. The record is from RNAcentral.